GAUGAACGCUGGCGGCGUGCUUAACACAUGCAAGUCGAACGGAAAGGCCCUGCUUUUGUGGGGUUCUCGAGUGGCGAACGGGUGAGUAACACGUGAGUAUCCUGCCCUUGACUUUGGGAUAACUUCAGGAAACUGGGGCUAAUACCUGAUAGGAGCUCCUGCUGCAUGGUGGGGGUUGGAAAGUUUCGGCGGUUGUGGAUCGACUGGCGGCUUAUCAGCUUGUUGGUGGGGUAGUGGCUUACCAAGGCUUAGACGGGUAGGCGGCCUGAGAGGGUGACCGGCGACAAGACGACUGAGAUACGGAGCAGACUGGAACGGGAGGCAGUGGGCGAGAGUAUUGCACAGUGAGGCGGAGUGUGAUACGAAAGUCUUGGGAGCGGAAAGACGGCCUACGGGGUAUGAACCGCUGUCGCCUGAGACGAAGCGGGAGUGACGGUAAUGAGUAAAGAAGCACCGGCUAACUACGUG
RNAcentral lists this ribosomal RNA (468 nucleotides) under uncultured bacterium. Its description in RNAcentral is "partial 16S ribosomal RNA". It matches the Rfam family "Bacterial small subunit ribosomal RNA", at positions 28 to 507 of the family's 1533-position model. The record is from RNAcentral.